GGUGGCUAUAGUGCCGGGGUUCCACCUCUUCCCAUUCCGAACAGAGAAGUUAAGCCCGUCCGCGCCGAUGGUACUGCGUAACAGUGGGAGAGUAGGUAGCCGCCG
This 105-nucleotide ribosomal RNA is filed under the name uncultured Bacteroides sp. Lineage: Bacteria; Pseudomonadati; Bacteroidota; Bacteroidia; Bacteroidales; Bacteroidaceae. The record is from RNAcentral.